Molecule: long non-coding RNA, 1215 nt
Organism: Alligator sinensis (Chinese alligator)
Lineage: Eukaryota; Metazoa; Chordata; Crocodylia; Alligatoridae
Exons: 3
Source: RefSeq, a predicted model, not a curated record
GGUAAAAAGCAUGUUGAAAUAAAUAAAUGAGCUGGAAUCAGUACUGAAGAGGGGAUGACAGGAGAAAAACCUCUUGUGAUGAUGAAAGAACACAGAGAAGCUGUUCCAAGAGCACUGUACAUCAAUACUGUAGAAAGAAACAUCCCAGUGGUUCCCAGCAGAGGACAGCAAAUCCUAACUCCAUACAUUUCCAUUCAUGCUUCCCCCAGGAAUUGAACACCAAAAUUGAGCCUAUAGUAUACAGCAUUCAUUGAACAGGUUUUGAGUAAGAAAAGUGAUGCAUUAUAUUUGAUUGUCUUCUGCAACAACCCAUAAACUGUCAAGGCUUGAGAGAUUCCAGCAAUAGUCAGGCCAUCAGGAAAUAAGUCCAUUAAAAGCACAGCAGCUCACUGGCUGACUCUCAGCGUGCUGGGAUUUCCCACUGGCUCGAAAAAGGAGGCACUCUGGCAUCCGACAUCCACAGCCUGCUCUUAAGACAGGAGCACAGAUGAAGAGUAAGAACAGUAAAUUAAUCUGGGAUGUAUUUCCUCCCUGCUCAGAUUUUUACAAGGAAGAAAAGAACAGACAAGAUAACAAAAUAAAUCUCGAAGAGCCAAGAGUCACAAAAAGACUAGCGUGCCUGAAUUGGCAGCUGCUUAAAUCCAAAACUUAGGUCUUCAGACCUCCAGCUCAGCUGUUGCCUACUUCUGAAUGCGAUUUUUCACUUGUUAAGUUCCCUACAUGCCUAAUUAUCUGGCAUUGGGCAGAUGAAGUCACUGAAGUCCAGACAAUGCUGAUGUUUUCCUUAUACCUACUUGCCAGUUUCAAAUAAAGAGGAUUCCCCACCUACCUGCCCUGCAGGGACCAAAUCUUGCAGGCAGUCUCACAGCAAACAACACAAUGCAAGUUGUAGUGGGUGCAUGGGGGAAAGAGGGGCUGGUUGUCUUCCUUCCAUAAAAAUCAAAUGGGGAAAAUCUGGGCUUGAAUCCCUGCCCUGCCUGGGACCCACAUCUCCCAGAGUAGCUGGGAAAAAAGACAGGUGCCAGUCAAGGUGAUUAAUACAAAAUGAAAGCUUCCACAGCUUCCAAAAUACCCUAUACCUUGGCAGUUAAAGACUCUCCUGGGUCGCAAGAGAUGUGGGUGCAACUCCCCUCAGCCAGAAGAAAAAAAAGUCUCCUGCUCCCCAGAGAAGUGAUCUAUGCCCUAGGUUUUUAGAUAAAUGGGUCAGAUUCAUAG